RNAcentral lists this ribosomal RNA (253 nucleotides) under uncultured bacterium. RNAcentral's name for it is "partial 16S ribosomal RNA". It matches the Rfam family "Bacterial small subunit ribosomal RNA", at positions 524 to 776 of the family's 1533-position model. The record is from RNAcentral.
UACGGGGGGGGCAAGCGUUGUUCGGAAUUACUGGGCGUAAAGGGUUCGUAGGUGGCCGACUAAGUCAGACGUGAAAUCCCUCAGCUCAACUGGGGAACUGCGUCUGAGACUGGCCGGCUUGAGUGCAGGAGAGGAACGCGGAAUUCCAGGUGUAGCGGUGAAAUGCGUAGAUAUCUGGAGGAACACCGGUGGCGAAGGCGGCAUCCUGGACCGGCAUUGACGCUGAGGCGCGAAAGCCAGGGGAGCAAACGGG